AGAGUUUGAUCCUGGCUCAGAACGAACGCUGGCGGCAUGCCUAAUACAUGCAAGUCGAACGAACACUUCGGUGUUAGUGGCGCACGGGUGCGUAACGCGUGGGAAUCUGCCCUUGGGUUCGGAAUAACAGUUAGAAAUGACUGCUAAUACCGGAUGAUGACGUAAGUCCAAAGAUUUAUCGCCCAAGGAUGAGCCCGCGUAAGAUUAGCUAGUUGGUGAGGUAAAGGCUCACCAAGGCUACGAUCUUUAGCUGGUCUGAGAGGAUGAUCAGCCACACUGGGACUGAGACACGGCCCAGACUCCUACCGGAGGCAGCAGUAGGGAAUAUUGGACAAUGGGGGCAACCCUGAUCCAGCAAUGCCGCGUGAGUGAUGAAGGCCUUAGGGUUGUAAAGCUCUUUUACCCGAGAUGAUAAUGACAGUAUCGGGAGAAUAAGCUCCGGCUAACUCCGUGCCAGCAGCCGCGGUAAUACGGAGGGAGCUAGCGUUGUUCGGAUUUACUGGGCGUAAAGCGCGCGUAGGCGGCGAUUUAAGUCAGAGGUGAAAGCCCGGGGCUCAACCCCGGAAUAGCCUUUGAGACUGGAUUGCUAGAAUCCUGGAGAGGUGAGUGGAAUUCCGAGUGUAGAGGUGAAAUUCGUAGAUAUUCGGAAGAACACCAGUGGCGAAGGCGGCUCACUGGACAGGUAUUGACGCUGAAGUGGCGAAAAGCGUGGGGGAGCAAACAGGAUUAGAUACCCUGGUAGUCCACGCCGUAAACGAUGAUAACUAGCUGUCCGGGCUCAUGGAGUUUGGGUGGCGCAGCUAACGCAUUAAGUUAUCCGCCUG
Molecule: ribosomal RNA, 824 nt
Filed under: uncultured bacterium
Lineage: Bacteria
Description: bacterial SSU rRNA
Rfam family: Bacterial small subunit ribosomal RNA
Source: RNAcentral